This 253-nucleotide ribosomal RNA is filed under the name uncultured bacterium. RNAcentral describes it as "partial 16S ribosomal RNA". It matches the Rfam family "Bacterial small subunit ribosomal RNA", at positions 524 to 776 of the family's 1533-position model. The record is from RNAcentral.
UACGUAGGAUGCAAGCGUUGUCCGGAAUUAUUGGGCGUAAAGAGUUCGUAGGCGGUUGCCUAAGUCUGUUGUUAAAGGCCUGAGCUCAACUCGGGUAUGGCAAUGGAUACUGGGCGGCUAGAGUGUGGUAGAGGUCACGGGAAUUCCAGGUGUAGCGGUGAAAUGCGUAGAUAUCGGUAGGAACACCAGUGGCGAAGGCGGUUUCCUGGAGCUAACUUGACGCUGAGACGCGAAAGCUGGGGGAGCAAACGGG